GAUGUAAGAAGCUCUAUUUGGAUACAUAAAGUAGUGGAUAAUCACCAGAAAGUUGAAUAAAUCUCAUAGGAGUUAAGAUGAAGAUGUUAUCCCACUUUCAAAUCAAGUUAUCCUAGUUUUCAUGUUUGGGAAUAUGACAACUUCUUCGUCAUUCUAAUCAAACCAAGAUUAAUCGCGAUGUAAGAAGCUUGAUUUUGAUACAUAAAAUAGUGGAGAAUCACCAUGAAUUUUAAUAAAUCUCAUAGGAAUUAGGAUGAAGAAGUUAUCGGACUUUCAUAUCAUGUGAUCCAAGUUUUUCUGUUUGGGAACAUGACAAAUUUUUCGUCAUUCUAAUCAAACCAAGUUAAAUCGCGAUGUAAGAAGAUUGAUUUAGAUACAUAAAUAGAGGAGAAUCAUCAGGAAGUUGAAUAAAUCUCAUAGGUGUUAGGAUGAAGAAGUUAUUCCAUUUUUAAAUCAGGUAAUCCCGGUUUUGCUAUUUGGAAAAAAAAAACUUCUUCGUCAUUCUAAUCAAACAAGGAUGAAUCGCGGCGUAAAAAGUUUGAUUUAGAUACAUAAAUGUGGGAACCGAAAUUUGCACUGUCGAUUUCCGGCUAAAUUAGGAAACUAGGAAAACCCUAAUUUCCCAGAGGUCCCGGAAAUCUGUUAUUACCACACGCUAAGCAAUCAGAACACGAGAUAUCAACGACAAAGUAUAAAAAUCAUAAAAAGAGAGCAAAAUAAAUCUUAUUCUGAAUCUGUGUUUGAGCGUUACAACAAGGUAUAUGCCUGAGCGUGAGAGCUGUCGGCGAGAUUCCUAGUUCUAGCAACCCUAAGAUGGCUAAACCUAAUUAAGUCGCAGCUCGAAAUAACAAAAACGGAAAUAUGCCUAAAUCCCUCUAAGUGCUAAAUUUGCUCUGAAAAAAAGUCUCUCUCAUGCCUCUCGCCUAGGACUCCUUAUAUACUCGCUCCUAGGUCGGUUUAUGCUUUUUCUCUUCUUCCCUUAGGCCGUCAUAGCAUAAAAAUGGAGAUAUUCCAGUUUUUUUCAUCUUCGUAAUUAUCUUCAAAAUUUCGUAUUUAUCCGCGGAAACUUGACAUUUAUCUUUCCUUGCGAACCAAGCGUAAACCGUCAUGCGGCUUACGGGCUGUUGGUUAAGAAACCGCAAGUUGGGCCUCGAGUCAUGUCAUGGGUCCCUUUGGGCUGUCUUUUGACUCGAAGCGUUUAUUACAGCUUCUUUCGAUAAAGAACGAACUUUCCGCGGUUUUUACCGGAAAGUUUGAUUGAUUCCUUAGAAUGGCG
Long non-coding RNA from Brassica rapa (field mustard), 1276 nucleotides. RefSeq lists it as uncharacterized. The record is from RefSeq and is a predicted model, not a curated record. Lineage: Eukaryota; Viridiplantae; Streptophyta; Magnoliopsida; Brassicales; Brassicaceae.